This 708-nucleotide ribosomal RNA is filed under the name uncultured organism. RNAcentral describes it as "bacterial SSU rRNA". It matches the Rfam family "Bacterial small subunit ribosomal RNA", at positions 790 to 1510 of the family's 1533-position model. The record is from RNAcentral.
GUACUCAAAGUCGUAGAAGUUGGAUGGUGGGUGUGGCAUGUGUCCUUCCUCUAUGUGAAGAUACCAAAGCAAUAUUCAUGCCAGUUGUGCACUUCAGCAGCAAGGUUACACCUCCGACUUAAUGUCGGGCCGCCGUACCAGCUGAGGACAUUGUAUUUUAAUAUGAUGCUCCUCGAAGAACCUUUCGCGGGUGCAGGCAGGUAGUUGUGGAGAACAAAAAGGAGGACCACUUGGGGGAGCGUCCCAGGAGAAGCCAUUCUUUUGGUACAAAAGAACCUUAAGGUGUGGGGUUAAGUCCUCUAACAAGCGCAACCCUUGCCUUUAGUUACAAGGUUUUAAGGGAUUUUCCCGGGCCAAGCGGGCGGAAGGGGGGGAGGACGUCAAUCAGCCCCGCCCUUGAGGUCCAGGCUUUCACCCCCCCUACAAUGCCGGGUCCAAUAGGGUCCGAACUUCGGGGGCGAACCAAUUCCUCAAAGCCGGUUUCAGUUCGAAUUGCAGUUUGCAACUCGACUGCAUGAAGCUGGAGUUGAUAGUAAUCGCAGGUCAGCAAUUCUGCGGUGAAUACGUUCCCGGGCCUUGUACACACCGCCCGUCACGUCAUGGAAGCUGGCAACGCGCGAAGCCGGUGAGCUAACCCCCAAGGGAGGCACCUGUGGAGGGUGGGGCUGGUGACUGGGACGAAGUCCUAACAAGGUAACCAAGGGCGAA